RNAcentral lists this ribosomal RNA (253 nucleotides) under uncultured bacterium. RNAcentral's name for it is "partial 16S ribosomal RNA". It matches the Rfam family "Bacterial small subunit ribosomal RNA", at positions 524 to 776 of the family's 1533-position model. The record is from RNAcentral.
UACGUAGGGUGCGAGCGUUAAUCGGAAUUACUGGGCGUAAAGCGUGCGCAGGCGGUUUUGUAAGCCAGAUGUGAAAUCCCCGGGCUUAACCUGGGAAUGGCAUUUGGGACUGCAAGGCUUGAGUGCGGCAGAGGAGACUGGAAUUCCUGGUGUAGCAGUGAAAUGCGUAGAUAUCAGGAGGAACACCGAUGGCGAAGGCGGGUCUCUGGACAGUUCCUGACGCUGAGACACGAAAGCCAGGGGAGCGAACGGG